CCUACGGGAGACAGCAGUGAGGAAUAUUGGUCAAUGGACGAGAGUCUGAACCAGCCAAGUAGCGUGAAGGAUGACUGCCCUAUGGGUUGUAAACUUCUUUUAUAUGGGAAUAAAAUGUUCCACGUGUGGGAUUUUGUAUGUACCAUAUGAAUAAGGAUCGGCUAACUCCGUGCCAGCAGCCGCGGUAAUACGGAGGAUCCGAGCGUUAUCCGGAUUUAUUUGGUUUAAAGGGAGCGUAGGUGGAUUGUUAAGUCAGUUGUGAAAGUUUGCGGCUCAACCGUAAAAUUGCAGUUGAAACUGGCAGUCUUGAGUACAGUAGAGGUGGGCGGAAUUCGUGGUGUAGCGGUGAAAUGCUUAGAUAUCACGAAGAACUCCGAUUGCGAAGGCAGCUCACUGGACUGCAACUGACACUGAGGCUCGAAAGUGUGGGUAUCAAACAGGAUUAGAUACCCUUGUAGUC
RNAcentral lists this ribosomal RNA (460 nucleotides) under uncultured bacterium. RNAcentral describes it as "partial 16S ribosomal RNA". It matches the Rfam family "Bacterial small subunit ribosomal RNA", at positions 338 to 795 of the family's 1533-position model. The record is from RNAcentral.